GAUGAACGCUGGCGGCGUGCUUAACACAUGCAAGUCGAACGGAAAGGCCAGUGCUUGCCCUGGUACUCGAGUGGCGAACGGGUGAGUAACACGUGGGUGAUCUGCCCUGCACUUCGGGAUAAGCCUGGGAAACUGGGUCUAAUACCGGAUAGGACAAUGGUUUGGAUGCCGUUGUGGAAAGUUUUUUCGGUGUGGGAUGAGCUCGCGGCCUAUCAGCUUGUUGGUGGGGUAAUGGCCUACCAAGGCGUCGACGGGUAGCCGGCCUGAGAGGGUGUACGGCCACAUUGGGACUGAGAUACGGCCCAGACUCCUACGGGAGGCAGCAGUGGGGAAUAUUGCACAAUGGGCGCAAGCCUGAUGCAGCGACGCCGCGUGGGGGAUGACGGCCUUCGGGUUGUAAACUCCUUUCGCUAGGGACGAAGCGUAUUUGUGACGGUACCUGGAGAGGAAGCACCGGCUAACUACGUG
RNAcentral lists this ribosomal RNA (468 nucleotides) under uncultured bacterium. RNAcentral's name for it is "partial 16S ribosomal RNA". It matches the Rfam family "Bacterial small subunit ribosomal RNA", at positions 28 to 507 of the family's 1533-position model. The record is from RNAcentral.